CCCUACUGCACAGAUUGUGGAGCGCGACAACUGGCGAACCAACAAGGACUUUGUUGGCCACCGUAAAGCUGUCACAUGUGUGAGAUUCAACCCGCACAUCCGAUCAAGAGUCAACAAGGACAACAACAAGACACAGACCUUUUGCUGCUGUGCCAUUGGAAGUCGGGACAGGUCCCUGUCUGUCUGGCUAACCUGUCUGAAGAGGCCUCUCGUUGUGGUGCAUGACCUCUUCUCCAACUCAGUGUUGGACAUAUCUUGG
This is a long non-coding RNA of Rhipicephalus microplus (southern cattle tick), 259 nucleotides long. Lineage: Eukaryota; Metazoa; Arthropoda; Arachnida; Ixodida; Ixodidae. The record is from RefSeq and is a predicted model, not a curated record.